Molecule: long non-coding RNA, 241 nt
Organism: Coffea arabica (coffee)
Lineage: Eukaryota; Viridiplantae; Streptophyta; Magnoliopsida; Gentianales; Rubiaceae
Source: RefSeq, a predicted model, not a curated record
CUAAAAAUUUAGCACCACUUAGCCUAAGUCUUGGACAACACAUUUAGCUGGAAAAGGGAGGAGCUUUCACGGUUCUUCAAGCUUCAAAGGGGCCGAAACUUCUGUCCUAACCAGCCAUCAAAGUAGGCGCUCAAGAGGACCUUCCAGAGGAUCUCACGGGAGACGCCUAAACCAUCAUUUGAACUCGCUACUUGAAUCACUGUUGGAUUGGAAGAUUUUGGUAAAGCCGACUAGAUUAUAC